RNAcentral lists this long non-coding RNA (298 nucleotides) under Sorghum bicolor (sorghum). RNAcentral describes it as "long non-coding RNA (SBIC_LNC006418)". Lineage: Eukaryota; Viridiplantae; Streptophyta; Magnoliopsida; Poales; Poaceae. The record is from RNAcentral.
UGUUGUUGUAUCUUGUCUCAGCUCUUGCACUGCAGCGGCAUGGUCCUGGUUCCAUUUUUGUUGCUCUUCCAGGAGUCUUCCAUGUUCUGCUUGCGUGUUCUGGAUGUCGAGGAGAGUGUUGUCGGUACGAGUGAAGAAAGCACCGGCCUCUUGAUAGUAGUCAUUCGUGAAAGCGUAAGAGGCGUCGGAGUAUCGUCCUGCAUCAAAUUGGGGCGGAGGUCUGGAUCCUGAAGCUCCAUAUGGAUCAGUGGAGUACCUGCCCGUAUGAAAAGGUGGGUUUGUCCACUGGUGAUCUUGG